AACCAAUAUUUCGAACACGAAGCGAGAAGUUUCUGUGCUCGGACUGUGACGAGAGGAGACACGAGUCACUCGCCUCUAAAGAUGAAGUCUGUUCUCUGUUCUGAACACACAGAAUCAACCUGGUGCUUCCUGCAGGAACCGGUUCUGGAGGCUGAUGGAACCGUUGGAUCCAAAAGCGCCUCGACUCUUCUGCAGGCAACAACAGUUUGAUGAGUGAGGCAGCAUCAGGUGUCACGUCCACGAUGUGAGUCAGUCAUUACCGACAUCCUCAGAGGAGGAAGGAGUUCGCCUGGUCGUGUCGCCGAUCCGUGGUGCAACAAUCAAACGUGUCCCCGGAGGGACGCCGGUGCUAGGAACUAAUGGCUCCUCUGGGAAACAGCCGGGGCUGAUGGGGCUGUUUGUGUCGGUCGCAGCUGAAACAACCUGCCGACUGAUGAAUCAGCAGCACAGAUGGUUAUGCAGAUUUAUGUUUUUCACAUUAAUAAAAUGAUGCUAAUUUUAGACCACUUAACAUAAUGAAUGGAUUUUUUUUUGGAGCAUUUGUUGUUUUGAUGAGAGGAUCGUGAGAUGUGAAGAAUUCAAAGCCUGUCACACCAUUUA
Acanthopagrus latus (yellowfin seabream) is the source of this 600-nucleotide long non-coding RNA. RefSeq lists it as uncharacterized. The transcript is spliced from 2 exons. NCBI's taxonomy places the organism in Eukaryota, Metazoa, Chordata, Actinopteri, Spariformes, Sparidae. The record is from RefSeq and is a predicted model, not a curated record.